GGAGUCGGCUAGGCAGCCGCUGUCAGGACCGGGUGUUUCCCGGCGCCUGGUAGAGGAAAGUCCGGGCUCCAUAGGGCAGGGUGCCAGGUAAUUCCUGGGCGGCGUGAGCCGACGGAAAGUGCCACAGAAAACAUACCGCCCAGCGUCUUCCCCAGGGGCAGGCCAGCUGGUCUGCGUGUCCCUGAGGGAAGGCGCCGGGUAAGGGUGAAAAGGUGCGGUAAGAGCGCACCGCGCCGGUGGUAACACCGGUGGCAGGGCAAACCCCACCCGGAGCAAGACCGAAUAGGGACCUUACGGUGUGGCCCGCACCGGGUCCGGGUAGGUCGCUCGAGGCGCGUGGUGACACGCGUCCCAGAUGAAUGGCUGCACUAGACAGAACCCGGCUUAUCGGCCGGCUCCCGUU
This 403-nucleotide RNase P RNA is filed under the name Gammaproteobacteria bacterium. RNAcentral's name for it is "RNase P RNA component class A". It matches the Rfam family "Bacterial RNase P class A". Rfam says of the family: Ribonuclease P (RNase P) is a ubiquitous endoribonuclease, found in archaea, bacteria and eukarya as well as chloroplasts and mitochondria. Its best characterised activity is the generation of mature 5'-ends of tRNAs by cleaving the 5'-leader elements of precursor-tRNAs. Lineage: Bacteria; Pseudomonadati; Pseudomonadota; Gammaproteobacteria. The record is from RNAcentral.